RNAcentral lists this long non-coding RNA (682 nucleotides) under Gallus gallus (chicken). RNAcentral describes it as "long non-coding RNA NONGGAT005431". The record is from RNAcentral. Lineage: Eukaryota; Metazoa; Chordata; Aves; Galliformes; Phasianidae.
CAUGGCACAGCACAGUGUGGCACAGCACAGCACAACGUGUCAUAGCACAGCAUGGCACAGCGUAGUGUGGCACAACAUGGCACAGCACAGCAUUGCACAGCACAGUGUGGCACAGUGUAGUGUGGCACAGCAUGGCACAACAUAGCAUUUCACAGCAUGAUGUGGCACAGCAUGGCACAGCAUAGGGUGGCAUAGCAUGGCACAACACAGUGUGGCACAGCAUGGCACAGCUCAACAUGGCACAGCACAGAGUGGCACAGCACAGCACAACAUGGCACAGCACAGAAUGGCACAGCACAGCUCAACAUGGCACAGCACAGAAUGGCACAGCACAGCACAACAUGGCACAGCACAGUGUGGCACAGCACAGUGUGGCACAACAUGGCACAGCACAGCAUUGCACAGCACAGUGGUACAGCACAGCAUUGCACAGCACAAUGUGGCACAGUGUAGCGUGGCACAGCAUGGCACAUCACAGUGGCACAGCACGACACAGCGUUGCAUGGCACAGCAUGGCACAGCUCACUAUGGCAUGGCACAGCACAGCACGGCACAGCAUUGCAUGGCACAGUGUGGCACAGCAUUGCAUGGCACAGUGUGGCACAGCACAACAUGGCACAGCACAGCACAGCUCAUUGUGGCACAGCACAACGUGGCACAGCACAGCAUGGCACCAUCUCCA